Molecule: ribosomal RNA, 119 nt
Filed under: Pteropus alecto (black flying fox)
Lineage: Eukaryota; Metazoa; Chordata; Mammalia; Chiroptera; Pteropodidae
Source: RNAcentral
AUCUACGGCCAUGCUACCCUGAACACGCCCAAUCCCAUCUGAUCUCAGAAGCUAAGCAGGAUUGGGCAUAGUUAGUACUUGGAUGGGAAACCACCUAGGAAGACCAGGUGCUGUAGGCG